RNAcentral lists this ribosomal RNA (79 nucleotides) under Streptomyces lavenduligriseus. Its description in RNAcentral is "partial 23S ribosomal RNA". It matches the Rfam family "Bacterial large subunit ribosomal RNA", at positions 2846 to 2925 of the family's 2925-position model. RNAcentral also lists the same sequence under 1 other name. The record is from RNAcentral. Lineage: Bacteria; Bacillati; Actinomycetota; Actinomycetes; Kitasatosporales; Streptomycetaceae.
GACUGGGUUGAUAGGCCGGAUCUGGAAGCACGGUAACGUGUGGAGGUGACCGGUACUAAUAGGCCGAGGGCUUGUCCUC